GAUGAACGCUGGCGGCGUGCCUAAUACAUGCAAGUCGAGCGGACGGACGAGAAGCUUGCUUCUCUGAUGUUAGCGGCGGACGGGUGAGUCACGCGUGGAUACCCUACCUAUAAGACUGGGAUAACUUCGGGACACCGUCGCUUAUACCGGAUAAUAUUUUGAACCGCAUGGUUCAAAGGUGAAAUACGGUCUUGCUGUCACGUAUAGAUGGUUCCGCGCUGCAUUAGCUAGUUGGUAAGGUCACGGCUUACCAAGGCAACGAUGCGUAGCCGACGUGAGAGAGUGAUAGGCCACCCUGGAACGUGGACACGGACCAUAGGCCUACGGGAGGCAGCAGAAGGGAAUCUUACGCAGUGGGCGAAAGCCUGACGGAGCAACGGCACGUGAGAGAUGAAGGUGUUCGGAUCGUAAAGCCCUGUUAUUAGGGAUGAACAGCUGUGUACGGAACCGUGCACAGCGUGACGGUACCUAAUCAGAAAGCCACGGCUAACUACGUG
This 497-nucleotide ribosomal RNA is filed under the name uncultured bacterium. Its description in RNAcentral is "partial 16S ribosomal RNA". It matches the Rfam family "Bacterial small subunit ribosomal RNA", at positions 28 to 507 of the family's 1533-position model. The record is from RNAcentral.